Molecule: ribosomal RNA, 378 nt
Filed under: uncultured organism
Description: partial 16S ribosomal RNA
Rfam family: Bacterial small subunit ribosomal RNA
Source: RNAcentral
GGAAGGUGCAAGCGUUAAUCGGGAAUUACUGGGGCGGUAAAGCGCGCGUAGGCGGCUAGAUAAGUCGGGGGUGUGAAAGCCCUGGGGCUCAACCUGGGGAACUGCAUUCGAUACUGUCUAGCUAGAGUGUGGUAGAGGGAGGCGGAAUUCCGCAUGUAGCGGUGAAAUGCGUAGAGAUGCGGAGGAACACCAAUGGCGAAGGCAGCCUUCUGGACCAACACUGACGCUGAGGCGCGAAAGCGUGGGGAGCAAACAGGAUUAGAUACCCUGGUAGUCCACGCCGUAAACGAUGUCAACUAGCCGUUGGGAGCAAUUUGGUUCUUGGUGGCGCAGCUAACGCGAUAAGUUGACCGCCUGGGGAGUACGGUCGCAAGAUUA